Molecule: ribosomal RNA, 600 nt
Filed under: uncultured bacterium
Lineage: Bacteria
Description: bacterial SSU rRNA
Rfam family: Bacterial small subunit ribosomal RNA
Source: RNAcentral
GUACGGGUGCGGAACACGUGUGCAACCUGCCUUUAUCUGGGGGAUAGCCUUUCGAAAGGAAGAUUAAUACCCCAUAAUAUGUUGAAUGGCAUCAUUCGACAUUGAAAACUCCGGUGGAUAGAGAUGGGCACGCGCAAGAUUAGAUAGUUGGUGAGGUAACGGCUCACCAAGUCUACGAUCUUUAGGGGGCCUGAGAGGGUGAUCCCCCCACACUGGUACUGAGACACGGACCAGACUCCUACGGGAGGCAGCAGUGAGGAAUAUUGGACAAUGGGUGAGAGCCUGAUCCAGCCAUCCCGCGUGAAGGACGACUGCCCUAUGGGUUGUAAACUUCUUUUGUAUAGGGAUAAACCUACCCUCGUGAGGGUAGCUGAAGGUACUAUACGAAUAAGCACCGGCUAACUCCGUGCCAGCAGCCGCGGUAAUACGGAGGGUGCAAGCGUUAUCCGGAUUUAUUGGGUUUAAAGGGUCCGUAGGCGGAUCUGUAAGUUAGUGGUGAAAUCUCACAGCUUAACUGUGAAACUGCCAUUGAUACUGCAGGUCUUGAGUGUGUUGAAGUAGCUGGAAUAAGUAGUGUAGCGGUGAAAUGCAUAGAUUUAC